CGGACGGGUGAGUAACGCGUGGGUAACCUGCCUUGUACUGGGGGACAACAGUUGGAAACGACUGCUAAUACCGCAUAAGCGCACAGCUUCGCAUGAAGCAGUGUGAAAAGCUCCGGUGGUACAAGAUGGACCCGCGUCUGAUUAGCUGGUUGGUGAGGUAACGGCCCACCAAGGCGACGAUCAGUAGCCGGCCUGAGAGGGUGAACGGCCACAUUGGGACUGAGACACGGCCCAAACUCCUACGGGAGGCAGCAUG
This 256-nucleotide ribosomal RNA is filed under the name uncultured bacterium. RNAcentral's name for it is "partial 16S ribosomal RNA". It matches the Rfam family "Bacterial small subunit ribosomal RNA", at positions 99 to 353 of the family's 1533-position model. The record is from RNAcentral.